GACGAACGCUGGCGGCGUGCUUAACACAUGCAAGUCGAACGGAAAGGCCCUGCUUUUGUGGGGUGCUCGAGUGGCGAACGGGUGAGUAACACGUGAAUAACCUGCCCUUGACUUUGGGAUAACUUCAGGAAACUGGGGCUAAUACCGGAUAGGAGCUCCUGCUGCAUGGUGGGGGUUGGAAAGUUUCGGCGGUUGGGGAUGGACUCGCGGCUUAUCAGCUUGUUGGUGGGGUAGUGGCUUACCAAGGCUUUGACGGGUAGCCGGCCUGAGAGGGUGACCGGCCACAUUGGGACUGAGAUACGGCCCAGACUCCUACGGGAGGCAGCAGUGGGGAAUAUUGCACAAUGGGCGGAAGCCUGAUGCAGCAACGCCGCGUGCGGGAUGACGGUCUUCGGGUUGUAAACCGCUUUCGCCUGUGACGAAGCGUGAGUGACGGUAAUGGGUAAAGAAGCACCGGCUAACUACGUG
This 468-nucleotide ribosomal RNA is filed under the name uncultured bacterium. RNAcentral's name for it is "partial 16S ribosomal RNA". It matches the Rfam family "Bacterial small subunit ribosomal RNA", at positions 28 to 507 of the family's 1533-position model. The record is from RNAcentral.